AAAUAAAAAAAAAAAUUAAAAGAUCGCUGCUUCUCCUACUCUCUCCCUCCUUUUCUAUAUUAGGAUUGUUGCAUGGUUCAGAUUGGUUUCUGGAAAUCAGGAGGAACUGAUGAAGUUGGCGUCUGGAUUUCGAGGGGAGGUUGAAUUCUUUAAUGUUUCUGAUGAGAUGGGAGAAAUAUCGAAGUGAGGAAGAAGCAGCUCUUGGUCGUGGGAAGCGCAUGCGGAAAGCUGUUUCUUACAGGGAAGCAUAUGUUGCACACCCAAAUGAAACGUUGCGUGACGUACUCAAGUAUAGAACCUGGGUAUCAAUCAAGGACUGAUAUCAAUUCUGCACCAAGUCCCAAAAGGUCAUUUUGGGGUAUAUUGGAGAGGAGGUUUUCAUCUCAAAUUGCCUCUAGUCAUCCAUUUUGAACCCGUUCAAGUGACCUCGUAGACUGAUCAGGUAAGGGAUAUUCCAUGUGGUACAAAAGGGGGUGUCAUGAUCAAUUUUGACAAGAUUGAGGUAAGGCUAUGCGAUAUUAUUCUUUAGUGUUUGUAUAUUAGUUUCACUAAGUUGAAGGUCUUGAAAAACUUCAUUUAAUAAAUCCAAAAUGUGUAUUCAUUUAGGUGUCGUUUGAUAACCAUUUGGUUUUUAGUUUCAAGUUUUUGUUUAGAUUUAUUUUUGGGCAUUUACAAUAACUUUAUUUUAGUACAUGUAGAUUUAAUAUUACAAUUUAGUAUAAAUUUAUAUAUCAUCUUCUUCUUAGGUUCUUCAAGCAUUUAGUUUCUUAGAAUAUCAUUUUUGAAAAAAGCUGGAGUAGUGCAUUUUAUAGUGUGGUCUAACUUCCUUUUCAUUGAAGUGGGAUUUUUGAGAGGGACUGGUGGAUCUCUGAAAAGGAACUUGGUGGAAAUUCCUUAUAACACUGUUCUAUUUCAGAAGUUGUGAAUUAUAUGCAAAUGGUUGACAAAUUGGAUGAUGAAACCAUGGCAAUAGAAUUUAGGUGUAUUCGGAAUACAAAGUAGUAUACUAAGUGGUAUAUGUGGUUUAUAUUUUCUAUACUUUUUCUUAUAAUCUCUUAUGCCUUAGUCUAAUUAGUUUCUUGAAUUCGAUCUGUUUUUGUAGAAACUUGGUUGCAAGGCAAGUUGGAAACGCACAAAAGUUUGAUCGCGUCCUAUAGAAUUGUUAGAGAAGGUCAUCUCCAUUUCACACAAAAUCAGACUUCUUUCUGUACACAAAAACACUAGGUAAACACGCAUUAUCCUUAUUUUGUUCAUGAUAUAAUUCUAUUGUCUAUAAAUUUAUUUCAAUUUUUUUUCCCUUGCCUGGGAUGCUUCCUUAAUGACCAACAUAGUAGGGGACAACUUUUAGUGUUGCAGUAAACAACAUUUCCCAUUAAUGUUUUUGGACAUGAAGCAAUUUGUGUUUUUUCGUAUCCAAAGAACUUCGUAAUAUUUUUAAUAGACGAAAUAGGUUUCUCUUUUGAUA
Molecule: long non-coding RNA, 1465 nt
Organism: Pyrus x bretschneideri (Chinese white pear)
Lineage: Eukaryota; Viridiplantae; Streptophyta; Magnoliopsida; Rosales; Rosaceae
Exons: 6
Source: RefSeq, a predicted model, not a curated record